AUUGAACGUUGGCGGCAGGCUUAACACAUGCAAGUCGAGCGGGGGAAGGUAGCUUGCUACCGGACCUAGCGGCGGACGGGUGAGUAAUGCUUAGGAAUCUGCCUAUUAGUGGGGGUCAACAUCUCGAAAGGGAUGCUAAUACCGCAUACGUCCUACGGGAGAAAGCAGGGGAUCUUCGGACCUUGCGCUAAUAGAUGAGCCUAAGUCGGAUUAGCUAGUUGGUGGGGUAAAGGCCUACCAAGGCGACGAUCUGUAGCGGGUCUGAGAGGAUGAUCCGCAACACUGGGACUGAGACACGGCCCAGACUCCUACGGGAGGCAGCAGUGGGGAAUAUUGGACAAUGGGGGGAACCCUGAUCCAGCCAUGCCGCGUGUGUGAAGAAGGCCUUAUGGUUGUAAAGCACUUUAAGCGAGGAGGAGGCUACUUUAGUUAAUACCUAGAGAUAGUGGACGUUACUCGCAGAAUAAGCACCGGCUAACUCUGUGCCAGCCGCCGCAGUAA
Molecule: ribosomal RNA, 501 nt
Filed under: uncultured bacterium
Lineage: Bacteria
Description: partial 16S ribosomal RNA
Rfam family: Bacterial small subunit ribosomal RNA
Source: RNAcentral